GACGAACGCUGGCGGCGUGCUUAACACAUGCAAGUCGAACGGAAAGGCCCUGCUUUUGUGGGGUGCUCGAGUGGCGAACGGGUGAGUAACACGUGAGUAACCUGCCCUUGACUUUGGGAUAACUUCAGGAAACUGGGGCUAAUACUGGAUAGGAGCUCCUGCUGCAUGGUGGGGGUUGGAAAGUUUCGGCGGUUGGGGAUGGACUCGCGGCUUAUCAGCUUGUUGGUGGGGUAGUGGCUUACCAAGGCUUUGACGGGUGGCCGGCCUGAGAGGGUGACCGGCCACAUUGGGACUGAGAUACGGCCCAGACUCCUACGGGAGGCAGCAGUGGGGAAUAUUGCACAAUGGGCGGAAGCCUGAUGCAGCAACGCCGCGUGCGGGAUGACGGCCUUCGGGUUGUAAACCGCUUUCGCCUGUGACGAAGCGUGAGUGACGGUAAUGGGUAAAGAAGCACCGGCUAACUACGUG
Molecule: ribosomal RNA, 468 nt
Filed under: uncultured bacterium
Lineage: Bacteria
Description: partial 16S ribosomal RNA
Rfam family: Bacterial small subunit ribosomal RNA
Source: RNAcentral